RNAcentral lists this ribosomal RNA (301 nucleotides) under uncultured bacterium. RNAcentral describes it as "partial 16S ribosomal RNA". It matches the Rfam family "Bacterial small subunit ribosomal RNA", at positions 509 to 809 of the family's 1533-position model. The record is from RNAcentral.
CAGUAGCCACGGGAAUACGAUGGGGGCUAGCGUUGCUCGGAAUGACUGGGCGUAAAGGGCGCGUAGGCGGAUGACACAGUCAGGCGUGAAAUUCCUGGGCUCAACCUGGGGGCUGCGCUUGAUACAUGUUGUCUAGAGUGUGGAAGAGGGUCGUGGAAUUCCCAGUGUAGAGGUGAAAUUCGUAGAUAUUGGGAAGAACACCGGUGGCGAAGGCGGCGACCUGGUCCUUGACUGACGCUGAGGCGCGAAAGCGUGGGGAGCAAACAGGAUUAGAUACCCCCGUAGUCCCUGUCUCUUAUAA